GGAAGAGACACUGAAGCUGGCUUAUGGGGAGAAUUCUGAUUUCAUCAAAGAUAAGAGGAUAGCAGCUAUACAAUCUCUAUCUGGAACUGGAGCAUGUCGAAUUUUUGCUGACUUUCAAAAGCGUUUCCGUCCUGAAUCCCAAAUCUAUAUACCAGUCCCUACAUGGGCCAACCACCAUAACAUCUGGAGAGAUGCACAAGUUCCUCAAAG
This 210-nucleotide unclassified non-coding RNA is filed under the name Hevea brasiliensis (rubber tree). The record is from RNAcentral. Lineage: Eukaryota; Viridiplantae; Streptophyta; Magnoliopsida; Malpighiales; Euphorbiaceae.